CCGAACCCCGGAAGCUCCCUCGUUACUGGUCGCUGUCCGUUAGAGUGAUGUGUUGCCGCCGCCGCCGCCGCUGCUACUGCUGCUUGCGGUACGGCUGCGUUGGAGCUGGGGUUUAUCCUAAACAGGACAUCACAAUGUAUUAAGAAGACGUCCCCAACAAAUGAAAUGAGGAAUAUUAAGGUGGCACCCUAAAUGCCAGUCUACAUAUGUAUUUCAUCCUCAGUGAUGGUCCAGGGGGUAUACAUCAAAGUAUGCUCUUGUGAAGAGGAAACCUAUUAGGGCAGGAUGCAGUCUUCAAACCACCGACUGCGAGAUAUGGAGCAGCACCACCCGCUGCUGUCGGCAGGUGCAGAUGUCGAGACAGGGAGCCUGGCAGCCGGAGUGAUAGUUGGGAGUCCCCACGCGGGCCACACUGCAGGGAACCGCACCCUGUGGUUCAUUCAGGACAGCUGUGGUAUGGUGUGUGCAACCAUGACCUGGUUCCUGGUGCUGUACGCCGAAUUCGUGGUGAACUUUGUCAUGCUGCUGCCUGCCAAGAACUUUUGGUACUCGCUCCUGAACGGGGCCACCUUCAACUCCCUGGCUGUGCUUGCACUGGCCUCACAUCUGCGCACCAUGUUGACUGACCCGGGUGCAGUUCCUAAAGGCAACGCAACCAAGGAGUACAUGGAGAGCUUGCAGCUGAAGCCUGGUGAGGUCAUCUACAAGUGCCCAAAGUGCUGCAGUAUCAAGCCUGAGAGGGCACAUCACUGCAGUAUUUGUAAAAGAUGCAUCCGGAAGAUGGAUCAUCACUGUCCCUGGGUCAAUAACUGUGUGGGAGAAAAGAAUCAGAGAUUCUUUGUUCUUUUCACUAUGUACAUAGCCUUGAUCUCUGCCCAUGCCCUGGGUCUCAGUGGAAUGCACUUCUUCACCUGUAUUAAAGUCCAGUGGAAUGAGUGCAGUGACUUCUCUCCAGGGGUUUCUGUGCUGCUCCUGAUCUUCCUCUGUCUUGAAGCCAUCCUCUUCCUCACUUUCACAGCCGUAAUGUUUGGUACGCAGAUCCACUCCAUCUGUAAUGACGAGACGGAGAUUGAACGUCUUAAAAACGAGAAGCCCACAUGGGAGCGUCGCGUGAGGUGGGACGGAAUGAAAGCUGUGUUUGGCGGUCCACCUUCUCUGCUGUGGUGCAAUCCAUUCACAGGCCUGCGUCUGCGGCGCCUGUUGCUGUUGACUCAUGGUCGCCGCAGCGGGUCUGAGUUUUCUGUCUGAGAGCAGGGUAGACUGAUGCAGCUCACCAACACUUGACCUUCUCCAAAGCAAGAUUUCUUGUAUGCCCUCCUUGGCAGGGGCUAAGAUGGACCCCUGCUCCCUGAGCCUGUCUUUCAUGUGUGGGUGACAGGGAGACUGGCUGCUCCAGUGGGACCCCAGAGCAUCAAUCAACCCCCACUGAAAGGGGAGAUCAGCAACAUAUCUUUAAUCAUCACUGGACACGCACAAGUGAAUCUGAAUGGGGAAAUGCUUGAAACUAUUCUGUUGGACCCAGAUGAGGAAAUCAAAGUCAAGGACAUGCACUACUCACAUGCCACUUGAGAAAAAGCCUGGAAAGGGAGCGCAGUGGACAUCAGAAAAGAACUGUGCUGCUUUGAUAUGCACGUAUGACAGUUCAAUCACUCAUCAUCUCGGCCAGAAAAUUAGGCUUUCACUAUCCUCAAACGAAUGAACAGGCUACUGUGAACACAAGCCUAAUUCUUAUUCAGGAGGAUUGAGUGGCUCUUCCUACCUGUUCAUCUCCUUUGUCAUGUUUUUCCUGCCUUGGGCUGAAAUUGUUCAUUCUUUAAGUUACUCAACCCAGUAAAAGUUAAUUUUCCCUUUUCUAAAAAACUGCUGAAGCCUAUUUAAUUUUCAUCUCAGUGACCACUCCUAAACAGUUGACCAUAAUGACUCACUGGAGGUGACUAGUUAUUCUGAAUCUUCUUCCGGGAGAGGGGGGAAUCACAGUUAAUACACAUGUAUGUGUUCAUUACUAUGCCAUUCCACCACUCCUACAUGCUGCUCCACAUCUCGUUCUCUAAAACCGAUGGGUGACCCACAGACCGCUGAUAAGCCUCCCUUGUUUUCAUAAUGAAGGGAUUCAGGUUGAGCAACUUGGGCUGCUGAAAAGAUCGAAUGUUAUUAAGUUUGAAUCGUUUUUCUCAUAGUUUUUCUCUCUGUGAAAAACUGGAGGCUACUUCUGUGUAUAGUAGGAAUCCAUAUGCAAGAACAGUUGGAUAAGACUUCAUAGCAUUUAAACCCUGGAAAAUAACCUUACAAAUCCCCCAAGACUGAGCCAGGUUUUAGACAUGGUGGCUUUGCAUGCAACCUGGCCACUGAGUGGUGCAACAUUUUGAAAAGGAGAAUUUAAAAUACUAGUACGGCCUCCUCUGGCUCGUUGUGAGCGAGCUCUACAGAGCCAAGCUCCAUUGUGCAGCCAGCCUGUAGAAAUAUAAAGGAAACGCUUUGCUGAAAGAGGCUGAGGUACCAGGCUCAUUAUACAAGCUUUAAUACUGAACAAAGUCUCGGGGAACUCAGCAGAUGCUUGCAAGGCCUUUCCUACUUCACUCCAGAAAUUUCAGGCAUCUAGUGGCAGGACAGAUACUUUCCCAGUGUUAUUAGACCACUUAUCCAUGCCUUUAAAGUAAUUCAGUCAAGUGAAUUUAUCAGCUUGAAAGAUUUUGUCAUUGCCAUAUUUAUGAGUGUUUUCUCACUUUGUGACAAUUAUGUCUCUUAUUUUUACUCUUCAUAAGUAAUGAACCUGUUUGCGCUGGAUGAAUGUGGCUUUUUGAAUCUAGAGUUCAAGAUUUAAAGUAAAAUCCUGACAGAUAGGCUGGUAUAGUCAAAGCGUUUUCAAAUCUAGAUUCUCAAAGUCUCAUUUCUGUGGCGUGUUGGGCAAUAUACUGCUGUUUGUUCUCAUCUGUGGUUGUCAGGAGAAGGAACUCUGUCUCCACUGUUUACACUAAAUUAUGAUAUCUGACGCUCUAUGGUUAUGAUCUUUGAAGACACAUGCUGUCAUUAGAAUGUAAAACUUAUCUAUUUUGGGACUAAGGGACACAGCACUGAAAGCUAACGGAUAUCAGGGGAUUUUAUUAAUGCUGGCCUUUUAUUUCUCAUUUUAUUCUGCUAGACUGCAUCAACUCAGCAACAGUUUUCUGGUUAAAUGUUUGGAGAAUAUCACUUUUUUAUUCAAACAAUGUCAUUCCUUUUUCUGUAUUCAGCACGAUUCAUUCGGCAAGUCCCUUAUCCCCACAUGCUCAGUGUACUUUUUAAUGUAUGAUUAGCGAAGUGAAAACAAUUCAAGUUAAGCCAACCACAUGGCAUGUCCAUAAAAAUCAUAGGCAUAAGACAGAUUGUAUUGUAUUUUAAGACCUCUCAGAAAACAACUGGGAAAUUCAGACUGUUUAGUUUUGCAGAUGCACAUAUCUUGCUAAUCAAGCAACAGCUGUUAUUAAAAAAAAGAGUUGCAGGUAUUAGGGGUAAAAUUACAUCUAGAGCCAGCGAGAGGCCUACAGUCCAAUAAACACAAAAAUGCCAUUAGAAUGGCAAUAAAUACAGACUAAUACACUGAUAAACUUUAAGAUGAUAUUUGUAGAAAGUAGCAGAACAUCAGACCUAAUUAUAGAUUGACAAAUAUUAUGUGUUUACUUGGUAUAAAUAUUUGACCAAAUUUGGUUGAUGUAUACAACUAAUUAACUAUGGGAUAGUCCUGUUUCAUGACCAAUCUCAGAUGCUGUAAUCAUACUUUCUUAGAUGAGGAUUCUGUUACAGGGUAUGUAGUUUUACACUCACCAGUAGAAUCAUUGAAUGAUGAUUUUUAAAGGGUUAUGAAGGAAAAUGUAUUUUGGGCGUCCUCCACUUUCUACCGUAUGACAAAGAAAAACAACAAUCAACAUGGGGAGAGAAUUGUAUGAUGUGCGAAACUGUGUAAACCAGUACAACACAAUUCUGUCUAAGGUUUUUCCUCACACCACUUGGGUAUUUGUGCAGAAAAUCUAAGAUAAAGAGCAUUCUUGUGAUGUAUAGUGAUGAUUCUUAUCAGGCCGGAUGUUUAAUCACAGAUUUAACAUUGCCAUGAAAACUUGAGAGAGGUUUUAUUUCCUGCUUUCCAACGUUUCUUCAAGAACAAAUCCUUCAGCUUUAUAAAACAAAGUAUAAAGGUUACUAUUAACAGUAUAUAAAUGGAAUGUUUUAUUCGAGCUUUUUUUAAUUAAUGUGUCAUAAUCUUAUAAUGUCUUCUAUCUUU
Molecule: RNA transcript, 4255 nt
Organism: Xiphias gladius (swordfish)
Lineage: Eukaryota; Metazoa; Chordata; Actinopteri; Istiophoriformes; Xiphiidae
Gene: zdhhc7
Gene name: zinc finger DHHC-type palmitoyltransferase 7
Exons: 9
Source: RefSeq, a predicted model, not a curated record